Molecule: non-coding RNA, 212 nt
Organism: Pelobates cultripes (western spadefoot toad)
Lineage: Eukaryota; Metazoa; Chordata; Amphibia; Anura; Pelobatidae
Source: the annotation of a GenBank genome assembly
GUUGGAGUUUGUCUGCAAGGCCACAUUGCCUGGUGAACCUGACACGAUCGGAGGAAUCACCUCCCACAUCAAGAGUCGAGACACGGUGUGUAACUUAUACUCUGGCACCCCGACUGGGUACCUCCAUUAAAGGAUGCUCCUAGCGUUUCCUGAGGACUCCAAGCACUCUGGCAGACACCACAAUCAUCGAACCAAAGAAGCGUAUACCUUCU